UCGGGAAUUUUGGGCAAUGGGCGAAAGCCUGACCCAGCAACGCCGCGUGAAGGAUGAAGUAUUUCGGUAUGUAAACUUCGUAAGAAUAGGAAGAAUAAAUGACGGUACUAUUUGUAAGGUCCGGCUAACUACGUGCCAGCAGCCGCGGUAAUACGUAGGGACCAAGCGUUGUUCGGAAUUACUGGGCGUAAAGCGCACGUAGGCGGAUUGAUAAGUUAGAGGUGAAAUCCCGGGGCUCAACCUCGGAACUGCCUUUGAUACUGUUAGUCUCGAGUCCGAUAGAGGUGAGUGGAAUUCCUAGUGUAGAGGUGAAAUUCGUAGAUAUUAGGAAGAACACCAGUGGCGAAGGCGGCUCACUGGAUCGGUACUGACGCUGAGGUGCGAAAGCGUGGGGAGCAAACAGGAUUAGAUACCCAAGUAGUCCCUGAGCGGGCUGGCAAGGCGCAU
This 447-nucleotide ribosomal RNA is filed under the name uncultured bacterium. RNAcentral describes it as "bacterial SSU rRNA". It matches the Rfam family "Bacterial small subunit ribosomal RNA", at positions 355 to 825 of the family's 1533-position model. The record is from RNAcentral.